Molecule: ribosomal RNA, 536 nt
Filed under: uncultured bacterium
Lineage: Bacteria
Description: partial 16S ribosomal RNA
Rfam family: Bacterial small subunit ribosomal RNA
Source: RNAcentral
UGGGGAAUAUUGCACAAUGGGCGCAAGCCUGAUGCAGCAACGCCGCGUGAGGGAUGACGGCCUUCGGGUUGUAAACCUCUUUUAGUAGGGAAGAAGCGAAAGUGACGGUACCUGCAGAAAAAGCACCGGCUAACUACGUGCCAGCAGCCGCGGUAAUACGUAGGGUGCGAGCGUUGUCCGGAAUUAUUGGGCGUAAAGAGCUCGUAGGCGGUCUGUCGCGUCUGCUGUGAAAACCCGAGGCUCAACCUCGGGCCUGCAGUGGGUACGGGCAGACUAGAGUGCGGUAGGGGAGAAUGGAAUUCCUGGUGUAGCGGUGGAAUGCGCAGAUAUCAGGAGGAACACCGAUGGCGAAGGCAGUUCUCUGGGCCGUAACUGACGCUGAGGAGCGAAAGCGUGGGGAGCGAACAGGAUUAGAUACCCUGGUAGUCCACGCCGUAAACGUUGGGCGCUAGAUGUGGGGACCAUUCCACGGUUUCCGUGUCGCAGCUAACGCAUUAAGCGCCCGCCUGGGGAGUACGGCCGCAAGGCUAAAACUU